Long non-coding RNA from Raphanus sativus (radish), 590 nucleotides. RefSeq lists it as uncharacterized. NCBI's taxonomy places the organism in Eukaryota, Viridiplantae, Streptophyta, Magnoliopsida, Brassicales, Brassicaceae. The transcript has 4 exons. The record is from RefSeq and is a predicted model, not a curated record.
AUUUUCGGAGUUAGCUCCAAAAGCCCAAAAAUUUGUUAUCACAUACGACUCGGGGGAAAAAGACAAAUCUUAAACUCUCUCUCAACAUUCACCAACUUUUCUUCUUGAUCUAGCCUCCCUCAUGUUAUCAGGUGCUUUUCGUCAUCCUCCACGGCCACCGAAGUUGAAUCUCCCGGCGUUAUUAUUCAAUGCUCGAGGAGACAAGAUGGUCACUUGUAGGUCGGUGAAUCUUUCUCCCCCUGUCAAGGCUGCAGGGAUUUUGUAGAAGCUUGUUUGUAUAAGUCGUAGGCAGCAUCACAAGGAGUUUAACUUCUGGAACGGGACUCCAUAUAAUUUGCAAGGAUAUCAUUGGGAUCCUGAUGAUCAGUCUUUGGACUAAACAGCUCACGAGGAUGAUUUCCAACAUCAGCAAGGGGAAGAGAUACGAUUUGGUGAUGUUUGAAUUUUUUUUGUUGGCAACUAGGAUGUCUACUUGUAUGAUGUUUGACUACUUUAUUAUUUUCAGUAUUUGUUUUACAGUCUAUGUAAUAUAUAUAUAUAUAUAUAUAUAUUGUUUUGAAUAAUUUUAUGUAGUUCUAAUUAUUUAUUGA